AUAAACACGCUCAAUAAUAACAUGCUUGUUAGAUUUGUUAUUAUUAACCAGUCCAGUUUUAUUGAUUCUACGUUAAAUUUAUCAUUUUUACAGUACUUAUACAAUACAAUAAAAUAUUUGUAUUUAUUUGAAUGUGUCUAUUAAAAUUAAUUACCAAAAUCAUAUAGGGUAUUAAUGGUUGUUUGGCUUAAUUUUAGUAAACAAACCGAGUUUGCAUCAAAUCAACAAAAAAAAAGUUUAUUUUUCAAGGGGACAAAAAUGAACCGGACAUAAUAUACAGAGGACUGUUGUUGCUAAUUAUCAAGAACUCAUUUGGUUUAAAAAUGUGGCACGGCAACCAUUCACUGAGACAUCAUAUCAAGCAUACGAUAAGUAGGGAAAAUGGAAUUUCCCUCAAAUAAAUCCACGGAGAUGUAACCAGAAAAAUAUCGACAUAAAUCCAGCCAGUUAAAAAAAAACGUUGUACAGUAGGAAGAAUAAAAAAAAAUAAUGAAAUGUAGCAAAUAUAAUAAAGAAAAAAAUAAAAAAAAACAUUUUGAUUUGAAAACAA
Armigeres subalbatus is the source of this 550-nucleotide long non-coding RNA. RefSeq lists it as uncharacterized. The record is from RefSeq and is a predicted model, not a curated record. The transcript is spliced from 3 exons. Lineage: Eukaryota; Metazoa; Arthropoda; Insecta; Diptera; Culicidae.